Molecule: ribosomal RNA, 1711 nt
Filed under: Staphylococcus aureus
Lineage: Bacteria; Bacillati; Bacillota; Bacilli; Caryophanales; Staphylococcaceae
Description: partial 23S ribosomal RNA
Rfam family: Bacterial large subunit ribosomal RNA
Source: RNAcentral
GCGUAUGCAUCAGGGGUAGGGGAGCGUUGUAUGUAGGUUGAAGGUGUACCGUAAGGAGCGCUGGACAGCAUACAAGUGAGAAUGCCGGUAUGAGUAACGAAAAGAUCAGUGAGAAUCUGAUCCGCCGAAAGCCCAAGGUUUCCUGAGGAAGGCUCGUCCGCUCAGGGUAAGUCGGGACCUAAGGUGAGGCCGAAAGGCGUAAUCGAAGGACAACAGGUUGAAAUUCCUGUACCACCGUAAACCGUUAUGAACGAUGGGGUGACGCAGGAGGGUAGUGACGCGGACUGAUGGAUGUCCGUCCAAGCAGUGAGGCUGAUGUGUAGGCAAAUCCGCACAUCGAUAAGGCUGGGCUGUGAUGGGGAGUGAAAAUUAUAGUAGCGAAGGUCAUGAUCUCACACUGCCAAGAAAAGCCUCUAGUCAGGUGAAGGUGCCCGUACCGCAAACCGACACAGGUAGGCGAGAAGAGAAUUCUAAGGCGCGCGGAAGAACUCUCGUUAAGGAACUCGGCAAAAUGACCCCGUAACUUCGGGAGAAGGGGUGCCUCGGUAGGGUGAAUAGCCCGAGGGGGCCGCAGUGAAAAGGCCCAAGCGACUGUUUAGCAAAAACACAGGUCUGUGCGAAGCCGUAAGGCGAAGUAUACGGGCUGACGCCUGCCCGGUGCUGGAAGGUUAAGGGGAGCGGUUAGGAGCAAUCCGAAGCUGUGAACCGAAGCCCCAGUAAACGGCGGCCGUAACUAUAACGGUCCUAAGGUAGCGAAAUUCCUUGUCAGGUAAAUUCUGACCCGCACGAAUGGCGUAACGACUUGGGCGCUGUCUCAACGAGAGAUCCGGUGAAAUUUUAAUACCUGUGAAGAUGCAGGUUACCCGCGACAAGACGGAAAGACCCCAUGGAGCUUUACUGCAGCUUGAUAUUGGAUUUGGGUACGAUCUGUACAGGAUAGGUGGGAGCCUUUGAAGCAUGAGCGCCAGCUUGUGUGGAGGCGACGUUGGGAUACCACCCUGAUCGUAUCUAGGUUCUAACCUGGUACCGUAAUCCGGUACGGGGACAGUGUCAGGCGGGCAGUUUGACUGGGGCGGUCGCCUCCUAAAGAGUAACGGAGGCGCCCCAAGGUUCCCUCAGAAUGGUUGGAAAUCAUUCGAAGAGUGCAAAGGCAUAAGGGAGCUUGACUGCGAGACCUACAAGUCGAGCAGGGACGAAAGUCGGGCUUAGUGAUCCGGUGGUACCGCAUGGAAGGGCCAUCGCUCAACGGAUAAAAGCUACCCUGGGGAUAACAGGCUUAUCUCCCCCAAGAGUCCACAUCGACGGGGAGGUUUGGCACCUCGAUGUCGGCUCAUCGCAUCCUGGGGCUGAAGUAGGUCCCAAGGGUUGGGCUGUUCGCCCAUUAAAGCGGUACGCGAGCUGGGUUCAGAACGUCGUGAGACAGUUCGGUCCCUAUCUGUCGUGGGCGUAGGAAAUUUGAGAGGAGCUGUCCUUAGUACGAGAGGACCGGGAUGGACGUACCGCUGGUGCACCAGUUGUUCCGCCAGGAGCAUGGCUGGGUAGCUACGUACGGACGGGAUAAGCGCUGAAAGCAUCUAAGCGUGAAGCCCCCCUCAAGAUGAGAUUUCCCAACUAGUAAGACCCCUUGAAGACGACGAGGUAGAUAGGUUGGAGGUGGAAGUGCAGCAAUGCAUGGAGCUGACCAAUACUAAUCGGUCGAGGGCUUAUCCAA